This is a small nuclear RNA of Rattus norvegicus (Norway rat), 61 nucleotides long. Ensembl annotates it as U7 small nuclear RNA. The record is from Ensembl. NCBI's taxonomy places the organism in Eukaryota, Metazoa, Chordata, Mammalia, Rodentia, Muridae.
AGCUAACAGAGGUCUUUCAGAAUUUUUCUAGCAGCUUUUCUGACUUUGGUCAGAAAACUUA